This 413-nucleotide long non-coding RNA is filed under the name Mustela putorius furo (domestic ferret). RNAcentral's name for it is "lncRNA (ENSMPUG00000030898.1)". The record is from RNAcentral. Lineage: Eukaryota; Metazoa; Chordata; Mammalia; Carnivora; Mustelidae.
GCAAGAGAAAAUUCUCACUACUUCCGCCUGUUAUCUUUUGCUCCCAUUGUCAUCCGUCUCCUGUAGCUGCUGAGUGACAUGGAAUAUACAUGAAGUAUCACCAAGAAGAACAGGAGAGGAGGAAAAGGGAAAAACUGCACCCAGCAAACCUGCAGCCUUGUGCUUUUAAAAAAGGAUUAUAAAGGACUUCCACUUUGGGCCAAGAUGGAGUCACAGGGACCAGAAUUACACUGCUGACUGAAAUAACAAAAAAAGAAAUGGCCAAAAUGUAUGAAAGAAUGGCUUUCAAGACAUGGAUAUCAGGCAACAGAGGACAAUGAUCCCUGAAAGGUAAGUGAACAAGAUGAGUCUCUGAUUGCCCCAGCUUGCUGACCAUGGUGUAGGGAAGGGCUACCCAGACUGAGCCCAGCAGA